CCUAUGUUCGGAAUCAAGCUAUUGAUUUUCAGACAACCUGAUUCCCCUGAGUAGAGUAAAGAAUUGCUGUGUGUAGUCUUUGCCCAUCCCCUGUGAUGGGCUUUUUUUUUG
This 111-nucleotide non-coding RNA is filed under the name Pantoea sp. B_2. RNAcentral describes it as "antisense sRNA RprA". It matches the Rfam family "RprA RNA". From Rfam's summary of the family: Translational regulation of the stationary phase sigma factor RpoS is mediated by the formation of a double-stranded RNA stem-loop structure in the upstream region of the rpoS messenger RNA, occluding the translation initiation site. Clones carrying rprA (RpoS regulator RNA A) increased the translation of RpoS. The record is from RNAcentral. RNAcentral also lists the same sequence under 33 other names. Lineage: Bacteria; Pseudomonadati; Pseudomonadota; Gammaproteobacteria; Enterobacterales; Erwiniaceae.